This 303-nucleotide ribosomal RNA is filed under the name uncultured bacterium. RNAcentral describes it as "partial 16S ribosomal RNA". It matches the Rfam family "Bacterial small subunit ribosomal RNA", at positions 507 to 807 of the family's 1533-position model. The record is from RNAcentral.
AGCAGCAGCCGCGGUAAUACGAAGGGUGCAAGCGUUACUCGGAAUUACUGGGCGUAAAGCGUGCGUAGGUGGUGGUUUAAGUCCGUUGUGAAAGCCCUGGGCUCAACCUGGGAAUUGCAGUGGAUACUGGGUCACUAGAGUGUGGUAGAGGAUAGUGGAAUUUCCCGUGUAGCAGUGAAAUGCGUAGAGAUGUGGAGGAACACCGAUGGCGAAGGCAGCCCCCUGGGCCAAUACUGACGCUCAUGCACGAAAGCGUGGGGAGCAAACAGGAUUAGAUACCCCAGUAGUCCCUGUCUCUUAUAC